UGAGCUGCAAAUGAGCGAUUGUAGCCGCGGAUAUCCGAAUGAGGGAACUCACCGUAAGUAAUGUUACGGUAUUGCAUGAUGAAUCAAUAGUCAUGCAAGGGGAACCCGGGGAACUGAAACAUCUAAGUACCCGGAGGAAAAGAAAGAAAAAUCGAUUCCGAAAGUAGUGGCGAGCGAAAUCGGAAGAGCCCAAACUUAAUAUAGAAAUAUAUUAAGGGUUUAGGUACGGCAAAAAGCAGACGGAAGUUAGCGGAACGGUUUGGAAAGACCGAUCGAAGAGGGUAACAAUCCCGUACGCGAAAACAGAAGAAAGCGAGCCGCAACCGGAGUACGUCGGGACACGAGGAAUCCUGACGGAAGAAAGGAGGACCAUCUCCGAAGGCUAAAUACGACCAUGUGACCGAUAGAGUAUAGUACCGUGAGGGAAAGGUGAAAAGCACCCCGGGAGGGGAGUGAAAGAGAACCUGAAACCCUAUGCUUACAAGCAGACACAGCAACCGCAAGGGAGUGGUGUCGUACUUUUUGUAGAACGGGCCGGCGAGUUACGAUGUUAUGCGAGAUUAAGCGGUAAAGCCGCGAAGUCGAAGCGAAAGCGAGUCUGAAGAGGGCGAAUAAAGUAUAAUGUCGUAGACCCGAAACCGGAUGACCUAACCAUGAACAGGUUGAAGCAGCGGUAAAACGCUGUGGAGGACCGAACACACGCCUGUUGAAAUAGUCGGUGAUGACUUGUGGUUAGCGGAGAAAUUCCAAUCGAACCCGGAUAUAGCUGGUUCUCCUCGAAAUAGCUUUAGGGCUAGCCUGUCGCAAGAAUACCGAAGGUAGAGCACUGUAUGGUCUAGGGGGUUUCACGACCUACCGAAACUUAACAAACUUCGAAUGACGGAUAUUUGAUGCGAUGGAGUCAGACGGCGACAGAUAAGUGCCGUCGUCAAAAGGGAAACAGCCCAGAUCCACAGCUAAGGUCCCAAAGUACAGGUUAAGUGGUAAACGAUGUGUCAUUGCAUAAACAACCAGGAUGUUGGCUUAGAAGCAGCCACACAUUCAAAGAGUGCGUAAUAGCUCACUGGUCGAGUGAUGAUGCGCGGAAGAUUACCGGGGCUAAAACCUGACACCGAAGCUUGGGGAUAUGAGUAAUCAUAUCGGUAGAGGAGCAAUGUAUAGAGGUUGAAGUUAGAUCGAAAGAUUUAAUGGACGAAAUACAAGAGAGAAUGCCGGCAUAAGUAGCGAGAGAGAGGCGAGAAACCUCUCCGUCGAGAGUCUGAGGUUUCCUGGGGAAGGUUCGUCCGCCCAGGGUUAGUCGGGGCCUAAGUCGAGGUCGAAAGGCGUAGAUGAUGGACAACCGGUGCAAAUUCCGGUACUACCGAAAUUCGUUUAAAUGAAGCAGUGACACAGGAAGAUAGUCAGACCGAGCGGAUGGAAAAGCUCGGCCAAGGCGAGACGAGGGCAUAGAGUGAAGUACCUAUGUAGAAAUCGGAGCGCUGAUGGGGACGUGAAGAAAAGUAAAUAAGCUGACGAAUCUACACUGGCGAGAAAAGCUGCUAAAUAAGGAUUAAGGUACCCGUACCGCAAACCGACACAGGUAGACGCGAAGAAAAUUCAAAGACGAACGGGAGAACCCUUGUUAAGGAACUCGGCAAAAUGACCCCGUAACUUCGGGAUAAGGGGUGCCUGCGAGAGCAGGCCGCAGAGAAUAGUCACAAGCGACUGUUUAGCAAAAACACAGGUAUCUGCGAAAGCGAGAGCUGACGUAUAGGUGCUGACGCCUGCCCGGUGCUGGAAGGUUAAGGGGAAGUGUUAGGGGAAACCCGAAGCAGAGAACCGAAGCCCCAGUAAACGGCGGCCGUAACUAUAACGGUCCUAAGGUAGCGAAAUUCCUUGUCGGGUAAGUUCCGACCCGC
Molecule: ribosomal RNA, 1898 nt
Filed under: human gut metagenome
Description: bacterial LSU rRNA
Rfam family: Bacterial large subunit ribosomal RNA
Source: RNAcentral